CUAAAUAUUUAAAAAAAAAAAAAAAAAAAAGAAAAGCAUUUUAUUGAGUAUAUUUAAGGUAUAUAACAUACACAUAGAUAGUAAAAGCAAAUUAACAUUUUCAUUUUAUAGAGCUUUUUGCUUUUGUAGCAAGAGCAUUUAAACUUAUUUGGCUCAGUCUGGUGGCCACGCCUGUAAUCCCAGCUACUUGGAGGUUGAGGCAGGAGGAUGGAUUGUAAGUUUAAAGGCAGCCUCAGCAACUUAGUGAGGCACUAAGCAACUCAUGAGACUGUCUCUAAAUAAAUACAAAAUAGGGCUGGUGAUGUGGCUCAGUGGUUGAGUGCCCCUGAGUUCAACCCCUGGUGCCAAAAAAAUAAAAUGUUCUUACGUGGCAUGAAUCCCAUGCACAGUAUGGUUGUUUUGCCUGUGGUCCUCAUGUCCUAUGCUAGCUCUCUAAACUGGUUCACUCUACAUAUCUGCCCCUUUGCAUAAACUUUUUUUUGGUGAUGUCUUGAGUUCAUCUUGUCCAAGUGAGAACUCCAAGGCCCAGGAGAAGGGCCUUCUCAGCCCAGUCUGCAGUGGGCACAGCGUUGAGGAUGCCCUGGGGCAGAGCCUGAGGGUCUGGAAGUGUGGCCAGCAGAAGGUGCUGCAAUAAGUACCUGAGAAGGGUAUCCAUGCCUGGAAAACAUCAAGAGACAAGACCAGGGCCAGGGAGGGGACCCUAGGAACAAGGCAACAGUGGCUCCAAGAUUCAUUUCUGUCUCCCAAUGAAGUAACCAUUGCCAGGAACCUUUGAAGUCAUCCAUCUGACCCUGCUGCAGAAAGCUGUGGCCAUUCAUGGUGGCAGAUCCCGCGUCAGUACUGCAGCCAUAUAGCACACCUGCUGGCACAGCUCCGAGGCUGCAUGGCCAUUACUCUUUGGUUCUCCAACUGUCUGGCGCUACAUGAUAAAAUUUCCAUGUUAGCCAGGUGGAGUGACUUGGGAGGCCAAAGCAGGAGAUCACAAGUCUGAGGCCAGCCUUAGCAAAUUAGCAAGGCCCUAAGCAACUUCGUGAGACCGCCCCCCCCCAAAAAAAAAGCCAGAAGUGGUGACACACCUGUCAUCCCAGCAGCUCCAGCUCGGGAGACUGGGGUAGGAGGAUUGCGAGUUCAAAGCCAGCCUCAGAAACUUAGUGAGGCCCCAAGCAACUCAAUGAGACCCUGUCUCUAAAUAAAAUACAAAAUAGGCUGGGGGUGUGGCUCAAUGGUAGCGUGCUCGCCUGGCAUGCACAGGGCGCUGGGUUCAAUCCUCAGUACCACAUGAAAAUAAAUAAAGAUGUUGUGUCCAC
This 1307-nucleotide long non-coding RNA is filed under the name Marmota monax (woodchuck). The record is from RNAcentral. Lineage: Eukaryota; Metazoa; Chordata; Mammalia; Rodentia; Sciuridae.